Molecule: long non-coding RNA, 1834 nt
Filed under: Nicotiana benthamiana
Lineage: Eukaryota; Viridiplantae; Streptophyta; Magnoliopsida; Solanales; Solanaceae
Description: long non-coding RNA (NBEN_LNC040553)
Source: RNAcentral
GCUUCAACCUCGCAGGCUUGCAGCAACCAUUAGCAAGUUGCUAAUGGCUCAGAAGCAAGGACUGGUGCUCAGUGCUACCCCGGACUAGCACUGAAACAGCUAACAUGUAUUUCCACAAGCAACAUGGACAUAAAGUGUCAAUCCAUCCAUGCGCAGCCCUACAGGAUCAUUAAGAGUAAAAGACAAAAGAUACAGGUGACAAGGUGAUGUAAGAAAUGGCAUUUGAUGAAUAUUAAUCUCAUUGAAAGACAAUAAGUUUAUACAGAUGGUCAGUUUCUUUUGCAUGAAAAUAAAGCCUCAGUAACCCGAAGGAAAAAAGGAGUGCUUCUAUGAGAUUAAACAUAGAAAGGAUACCAUCCCACUAUAUCUUGUACUACUAAAUUUGACAAACUAGCAAUCCCCCUUGUUCCAGACACACAAAUUUCUUGCAAUACUUACCAUUUAAUAAACAUGAAAUUGGAGAGUAAGGUUAAAGAGCUUCCAACUUUUCUUUCCUGACGAUGUGGAAAAAUUGUUUCCAGACUGGCAGACUGCAAUGUUCAAAAUCUACGAAAUUCUUUAUCAGUGACGGAGAAGACAAAGAAAAAAGGGUAGAUUUUACAAAGCAAGUAAGAGGUGAGUAUGUGGUAAACCUAUAGGCUACAUAUUUAACUUACCGACAUUACAUAUAACCAGGCUAUAACCCCGAUUCUGUGAUAUUCUUAAAACCAGCUAAUCCUGCCAAGUAGGUCACAGCCUCUUGCAUUUAAAACACUUAAAUGAGAGAGCUUACAAUUCACAGCAUCUAGCACAUAUAUCGGAGAAACAUAAACAGAGUAAACAGUUGAGGUGUAAUCAAGUGACUCAGCUUAUACAAACUGCAGCUAGAAAUAUGACGUAUUUUCAGAAAUUAAGCCCAAUUAAGCAGCUCUACUUACCCCGAUAAUGAGAGAAAGAAAAAGAACUUCAACCAAGCCAUGAGUAUAAUAUAAACAAAUAUGUUGAAGAUUGGAGACUGCAAAAACAAAACAAUGAUUGGGGCUCAUCAAGUAAUAUCAGCUAGCUCUGAAAAUUGUGAAUCAAUUGGCCAAUGUAAGCUUGCUAUGAAUAUACAAUACUUUACAAUCCAAUAUCAGCUUGAAACUUACAGUGCAUGCAACUAGCAGAGCCCAUUCUCUAACCUCGUUUUUACUACGCAUACCUCCACUGCUUUUCAAUAUCUGGGAAUAUGAUAUAGAAACAGUUCUCCACAGAGUGAAAACCUAGUCUAAAGUCCAUUCAAGUAUAUUUAACUCCUUGGCAAACAAAUUUGAGAUAAAUACUAUUGCUUCAAGAAAUCCUGGUAUAAAUAUUUUCACAGCUCCAGAAACUCAGCUACUGGUCUUAAUCAAAAUAAUUAUCACAUUUCCUGUCCUCUUCAUUUGACAGGUCUGGACCAUUUAUUCCGGAAGCUUUUCUCUUUCUGUAAUAAGGGAAGCUUCUUGGCAUGGUUUUCCCCCAAUACUCAGUUUUUCUUCAGGAGGAGGAUGAAACGGUGUUCCAUCGUCAGUACAGAGAAGUAGCUCUUGCCAGUGGGCUAUAUCCACGAGUAAAAUAUUUGCAAAAUACACAUGGGUACACCGAGAUGGUCCCUUUCUGGCCAAACACUAAGGGGCAAUGAAGCAGAGCAUGUCUGGCUAUGUAGUUGGACUGUCAUGUCAAUCUGAUUAGAAAAAUGUGAAAAUGCAAGCGACUUGGAAACGAUGAACUUUGUGGAUGUUUCAGUUCCACCAAGUACUCCAAAUCAAUCAAGCCGGUUAUAUCCAAACAAUCGCCAAGGAGUUGCCAGCUGCAAACAGGAACCUGACAAGUUACC